AUGGCUCAUUGUGUGGGUUAUCGUUUAUUUGAUAGUACCUUACUACAUGGAUACCUGUGGUAAUUCUAGAGCUAAUACAUGCUAAAAACCUCGACUUCGGAAGGGGUGUAUUUAUUAGAUAAAAAACCAAUGCCCUUCGGGGCUCCUUGGUGAUUCAUAAUAACUUAACGAAUCGCAUGGCCUUGCGCCGGCGAUGGUUCAUUCAAAUUUCUGCCCUAUCAACUUUCGAUGGUAGGAUAGUGGCCUACCAUGGUGGCAACGGGUAACGGGGAAUUAGGGUUCGAUUCCGGAGAGGGAGCCUGAGAAACGGCUACCACAUCCAAGGAAGGCAGCAGGCGCGCAAAUUACCCAAUCCCGACACGGGGAGGUAGUGACAAUAAAUACUGAUACGGGGCUCUUUUGGGUCUCGUAAUUGGAAUGAGUACAAUCUAAAUCCCUUAACGAGGAACAAUUGGAGGGCAAGUCUGGUGCCAGCAGCCGCGGUAAUUCCAGCUCCAAUAGCGUAUAUUAAAGUUGUUGCAGUUAAAAAGCUCGUAGUUGAACCUUGGGUCUGGCUGGCCGGUCCGCCUCACCGCGAGUACUGGUCCGGCUGGACCUUUCCUUCUGGGGAACCUCAUGGCCUUCACUGGCUGUGGGGGGAACCAGGACUUUUACUGUGAAAAAAUUAGAGUGUUCAAAGCAGGCCUUUGCUCGAAUACAUUAGCAUGGAAUAAUAGAAUAGGACGUGCGGUUCUAUUUUGUUGGUUUCUAGGACCGCCGUAAUGAUUAAUAGGGAUAGUCGGGGGCGUCAGUAUUCAGCUGUCAGAGGUGAAAUUCUUGGAUUUGCUGAAGACUAACUACUGCGAAAGCAUUCGCCAAGGAUGUUUUCAUUAAUCAGGGAACGAAAGUUAGGGGAUCGAAGACGAUCAGAUACCGUCGUAGUCUUAACCAUAAACUAUGCCGACUAGGGAUCGGGCGGUGUUUCUAUGAUGACCCGCUCGGCACCUUACGAGAAAUCAAAGUUUUUGGGUUCUGGGGGGAGUAUGGUCGCAAGGCUGAAACUUAAAGAAAUUGACGGAAGGGCACCACAAGGCGUGGAGCCUGCGGCUUAAUUUGACUCAACACGGGGAAACUCACCAGGUCCAGACAAAAUAAGGAUUGACAGAUUGAGAGCUCUUUCUUGAUCUUUUGGAUGGUGGUGCAUGGCCGUUCUUAGUUGGUGGAGUGAUUUGUCUGCUUAAUUGCGAUAACGAACGAGACCUCGGCCCUUAAAUAGCCCAUUUACGCGUUUCCGG
RNAcentral lists this ribosomal RNA (1274 nucleotides) under bacterium IS424. RNAcentral describes it as "SSU rRNA". It matches the Rfam family "Eukaryotic small subunit ribosomal RNA", at positions 93 to 1377 of the family's 1831-position model. The record is from RNAcentral.